UACGUAGGGGGCAAGCGUUAUCCGGAAUCACUGGGUGUAAAGGGAGCGUAGACGGCUGUGCAAACCUGAAGUGAAAGGCGGGGGCCCAACCCCUGGACUGCUUUGGGAACUGUACGGCUGGAGUGCAGGAGAGGUAAGUGGAAUUCCUAGUGUAGCGGUGAAAUGCGUAGAUAUUAGGAGGAACACCAGUGGCGAAGGCGGCUUACUGGACUGUAACUGACGUUGAGGCUCGAAAGCGUGGGGAGCAAACAGG
RNAcentral lists this ribosomal RNA (253 nucleotides) under uncultured bacterium. RNAcentral's name for it is "partial 16S ribosomal RNA". It matches the Rfam family "Bacterial small subunit ribosomal RNA", at positions 524 to 776 of the family's 1533-position model. The record is from RNAcentral.